UCUCUGUUGGCGUACUCAUCGGUGAGUGCACCUGUCAUUCGCUCAGGCUGUUACGCGCGAAAGCUGGGUUCGACUCCCAGACAGAGAG
RNAcentral lists this transfer RNA (88 nucleotides) under Laccaria bicolor S238N-H82. RNAcentral's name for it is "tRNA-Glu (TTC) (tRNA-Glu-TTC-5-1)". The record is from RNAcentral. Lineage: Eukaryota; Fungi; Basidiomycota; Agaricomycetes; Agaricales; Hydnangiaceae.